RNAcentral lists this long non-coding RNA (2065 nucleotides) under Nicotiana benthamiana. Its description in RNAcentral is "long non-coding RNA (NBEN_LNC022103)". The record is from RNAcentral. Lineage: Eukaryota; Viridiplantae; Streptophyta; Magnoliopsida; Solanales; Solanaceae.
GUUGUAAUUCUCUUUAAAAAAUAAUAAUAAAAGUGGUUAAAUGAUUCAAAAUGAACAUAGGUUCAUAAUUGUAUAAAAUCAGAUAAUUUAAGCCAAAUAUAACAGUUGAGCGACGGUGCUAGAACCACAAAACUCGGGAAUGCCUUACACCUUCUUCCGGGUUAAUAUAAUUCCUUACCCGAAUUUCUGGUUCGCGGACUGUUAAAUAGAUUCAUUCUUUUCUCGAUUCGGGAUUUAACCCGGUGACUUGGGACACCAUAAUCUCCUAGGUGGCGACUCUGAAAAUCUCUUAUAUAAUUAGAUCCCGUUUCGAUUGUCCUUAAAUUGGAAAAACUCCCUUAUUUACACUCUUUGCUGCGUUGUAGUAGCCAAAAGGAGGUGUGACACAACUUUGGAUUAGUUCCUCCAGGAAAGGAAACUCAUACAAACUAUGUAACCUGUCAGAACAACAACAUGCAGCGUAAGGCCUUAUAACAUGCAGUACAAUAUCAUUUAACAUCCUAUAGUCCAAAUGAGCUUUUAGACAGAACAAUUUCCUACAACAUUUCGACCCUACUAGGCCUCAUUACAGUAAACAUUCACAACUAAAUCCUAAUUAGUUAAAUGGAACAUGGGCAACAGAGUAAACCAAAAGGACCAAAUCAGCUAAUAUUAAUCACUCCAUGUGUUCAUUUUAGAAGUAAGAGGCAAACAGUCCAUAGCUUCACAUGCAUAAUCGAUAUCCAAAGAUGUUCGUUCAGCCUACAUACCUGGAUACAAACAAACCAACCAAAGGAAUAAACCUUGAGCUCGACAGGAACAAGAAAAGUUGCAAAACCAACAGCAAAGAUCAACAGCAAUAAUUAAUUUUAGCUUCAAAUUAAAUCAUUUCCUUCACGCUAAAUCACCAGAAAUCGAAUAGGGUGUUUCCUUUUAACUUUUUUAGAAGAGAAAAGAGUGGAAAAGUUGAAGACUAGCAUUAAUAUUUUUAAGAAAAAAUUUUCAUCCGUUUCUAGUUUUAGGUCUCUAAUCUCAGCCUUGACAAUGAAGGAAGCAGGCAUUAUAUAGCAAGACCUUAGGACAACAGGACUGAUUUUAACAUUACCCCUUUCCCAAUUUUAUCUAUUUAUUUCAGAUCCCAAGUUUUGAACCUGUUUGUUAAACCACCACAAUCCUACCUUGCUGGAAAUUUCCGAAAUUGUUAGGAUUCCCCCUAUCUGAUUUCCCUAAACUACCCCUCAAAUUUCUAUUAUUUACCUUAUCAAAUCCAGUAAAUGUGCCAUACAACCAGAAUUGAAACCCUCUUUUCUUCGGGCUUCUGUACUACAAUGCUCAAUUACCAGUCCAAAACCAACAAACCAUAAGAAGGACAGGCCAAUGGAGUUUUGAACUCCUGGCAUCAGAUUCCCAAAAAAUCUAAAAUAAAAGAAGAAUUGAGCAAAAAAUUAAAAACAAGCACGAAAUCAAAAUAUUCUACCAAAAAUGUCAACUGUAUUAUUAAGCUAAAUGAUACAACCUAAUAUGCUUUAAACCUACAUGCAAGCAGAAUUCGACUUGAAACAGAAAAACUAGGAAGAAAAAGAAAAAAAUCUGAAGGAGACGAAUAUGGGAAGAAAACAAAGAAAGGAGAAAAAACGAACGGAGAUAACCUAAAAUGGGUAGACGUAUAGUUGGCUUGAACGGACCUCCGACACUUUUCAAUUUAAACUAAAAUUUAUAUUAAUCGUAUGAUCUUGUCGAGAACAAACGAUCAAUACAAGUUUCAGGCCAAAUCGUUCUUAGAAACUUAAAGAAUUAUAAGAUUUUUCUUAUUUUUUUCUUUUUUAGAUCUAACACUGGUCAGAUUUGACGGGGAUUUAGGGAGAUGUAGCGGUGGAUUAGGAACUGAGGGUGGGUGGUGAUUGUGUGAAAGGGAUUUGGGGUAGAUUUGGCCGCACCACUGGCCAGUGGAGGCUUAGGAAUUUUAGGGCAGUGGGUCUUCUAUGGCUUAGAUUUGAGAUGGAUGAAAAAGAAGCUGAACAUGGUCCUAGGUUGUUUUGAGGGUAUUCAGACAAUUUUAAACCAAAUACGGGAAAGCUCUCAAAGC